CUUCAGCGAGCCGAGCCACAGCGGGUGCUCCGGGGUACGGCCCGAGCCGUAGGCCGCCGCCAGCGCGCGGGCUUC
Molecule: non-coding RNA, 75 nt
Filed under: Streptomyces sp. JS01
Lineage: Bacteria; Bacillati; Actinomycetota; Actinomycetes; Kitasatosporales; Streptomycetaceae
Source: RNAcentral